AACGCGAAGAACCUUACCAGCCCUUGACAUCCCGGUCGCGGGAACGAGAGAUCGAUCCCUUCAGUUCGGCUGGACCGGAGACAGGUGCUGCAUGGCUGUCGUCAGCUAGUGUCGUGAGAUGUUGGGUUAAGUCCCGCAACGAGCGCAACCCUCGCCCUUAGUUGCCAUCAUUUAGUUGAGCACUCUAAGGAGACUGCCGGUGAUAAGCCGCGAGGAAGGUGGGGAUGACGUCAAGUCCUCAUGGCCCUUACGGGCUGGGCUACACACGUGCUACAAUGGCGGUGACAAUGGGACGCUAAGGGGCAACCCUUCGCAAAUCUCAAAAAGCCGUCUCAGUUCGGAUUGGGCUCUGCAACUCGAGCCCAUGAAGUUGGAAUCGCUAGUAAUCGUGGAUCAGCACGCCACGGUGAAUACGUUCCCGGGCCUUGUACACACCGCGCAUA
This 443-nucleotide ribosomal RNA is filed under the name uncultured bacterium. RNAcentral describes it as "bacterial SSU rRNA". It matches the Rfam family "Bacterial small subunit ribosomal RNA", at positions 958 to 1398 of the family's 1533-position model. The record is from RNAcentral.